RNAcentral lists this microRNA precursor (202 nucleotides) under Oryza glumipatula. Its description in RNAcentral is "MIR812 microRNA precursor family". It matches the Rfam family "MIR812 microRNA precursor family". The record is from Rfam by way of RNAcentral. Lineage: Eukaryota; Viridiplantae; Streptophyta; Magnoliopsida; Poales; Poaceae.
CAAAAAAAAAAAAAAAGACUUUUAUAUCCAACGUUGACUAUCCGUCUUAUAUGAAAUUUUUUUAUAAUUAGUAUUUUUGUUGUUGUUAGAUGAUAAAACGUGAUUAAUACUUUAUACGUGACUUGUCUUUUUAUUUUUUUUCAUAUUUUUUUUAGAUAAGACGGUCAAACGUUGGACACGAAAACCCAGGGUUUGUCUUUUU